AGUGUUGCAAAGCCUGAAGUGCAAUCGAUUAUCAUAGCCAAGUGGCAUAUUCGUUGAAUGUUCGCUUUUGAACCGGAUGACCAAUCUAACACGGUCGUUGGUUCAUAUGUCCCUUCUUCCCUUCUCCCACUCCACCAAACAACCUCGUUCAACGGACAUUAAAAACAAAUCCUUCUGGUAUUUGCGUCAAAAAAUUCCGAGGUUGUUCUUCUGUUUCUGCAACUCGGCCUCUUGCUUCUCAUCAUUGCCAUUCAUUUUUCUAUCGAGUCACCCUUCACACGGAUGAGCUUCGGCUCUGCCUCGAUGAGAUUUUACGAACCAUUUAGUGUCGUACCAUAAGAAAUUACUCGAAUCGAAGUUUUUGGUCUUUGCUGCGGUUAAGGGAUAGCAAAUUUACGACUUAGGACAUGUAUUACCAGGACACAAACGUGCCUCAUGCCUGAUUCGAUUUUGUGUCGUGCAUUCAAAAAUGUCCGAUCGGAUCAUGAUGGGAACUCUGCCUUGAUUGAUUGUGAUUUGUUCAUAACUUUCUUCCAAUUAUUUUCCCGUAUAUUGGACAAUCAUAAUUAGACGUAUCAAUCCUUAUGUUAGUCAGCCUUUGUUAGAAGAGUAGUUGGCUGCUUGGACUUGGAGUUUCACUUUAGCUUGCCCUUUUGUCCACAAUCCUUUGUCUCUCGUUGAAGUAGUUGUGCAAUGUUGAAACGAUUUCUUCUUCAACCAGCGGGGGCCGUGAAUUUCCUGUUAGGUUUGGGUUAGAGAGUGUAAAGAUUGAGUCGAGAUUUGUGGAUGCAUGAUGUAUAAAUGGGGUUUGUUGC
Molecule: long non-coding RNA, 815 nt
Organism: Prosopis cineraria
Lineage: Eukaryota; Viridiplantae; Streptophyta; Magnoliopsida; Fabales; Fabaceae
Exons: 2
Source: RefSeq, a predicted model, not a curated record